UCCUUCUUAUCGAAGGCAGUUUUCGAAGAGUGCAUCCCUUGCGGGAUUAGCAACAUCGAAUGGGGGUUGCGCUCGUUGCGGGACUUAACCCAACAUCUCACGACACGAGCUGACGACAACCAUGCAGCACCUCUGCUCGCUCCCUUGCGGGUCAGCCUCUGUUUCCAAAGGCUUACCACGAGUAGUUCAAGCCCAGGUAAGGUUCUUCGCGUUGCGUCGAAUUAAACCACAUGCUCCACCGCUUGUGCGGGCCCCCGUCAAUUCCUUUGAGUUUCAACCUUGCGGCCGUACUCCCCAGGCGGCUCAUUUAAUGCGUUAGCUUCGGCGCGGGAGGGGUCGAUACCUUCCACACCUAAUGAGCAUCGUUUAGGGCUAGGACUAC
Molecule: unclassified non-coding RNA, 382 nt
Filed under: uncultured Elusimicrobia bacterium
Lineage: Bacteria; Pseudomonadati; Elusimicrobiota; Elusimicrobia
Description: contains 16S-23S intergenic spacer region
Source: RNAcentral